UCCCUGGUGGCUCAGUGGAAAAGAAUCUGCUUGCAAUGCAGGAGACCUGGGUUCGAUCCCUGGGUUGGGAA
RNAcentral lists this transfer RNA (71 nucleotides) under Bos taurus (domestic cattle). It matches the Rfam family "tRNA". From Rfam's summary of the family: Transfer RNA (tRNA) molecules are approximately 80 nucleotides in length. Their secondary structure includes four short double-helical elements and three loops (D, anti-codon, and T loops). Further hydrogen bonds mediate the characteristic L-shaped molecular structure. tRNAs have two regions of fundamental functional importance: the anti-codon, which is responsible for specific mRNA codon recognition, and the 3' end, to which the tRNAs corresponding amino acid is attached (by aminoacyl-tRNA synthetases). tRNAs cope with the degeneracy of the genetic code in two manners: having more than one tRNA (with a specific anti-codon) for a particular amino acid; and 'wobble' base-pairing, i.e. permitting non-standard base-pairing at the 3rd anti-codon position. RNAcentral also lists the same sequence under 5 other names. The record is from Rfam by way of RNAcentral. Lineage: Eukaryota; Metazoa; Chordata; Mammalia; Artiodactyla; Bovidae.